CAGGCACAGACCAGGACAUCUCCAAGGUAUUUCCAGCAGGUAUCUGCUAGACGCGUUCUCUCUGCCAGCCCGCUGCCUUGCUAGCUGUGGAGCAACUGCAGUACGUGCCCGUCCCUGUCACCAGGGGCUGGCCAUCAACAGAAGCUGCUCCUUCCAAGCCGGCCACGCGUCUACUACUUCAUCAUCCUCUCGGGGGUGCGUCCACAGCUCUCCCUACAAUGGGAGCUUCCUGAGAGGCACUUUCAUUUCUCUGUGCUUCCUCUGGGCUCACCAGCAAGUGCUAAACUGAAGGAAGAUAGAGUUAAAUUGUUUAGCAAUCAGAGUUUCUAUGACUGUCCAUCAUCACUGCAUCUCUUCUAUGACAUGAGACAUUGGUGCGAUGUGUCAUUAUGUUCAAAUGUGUGGGUCGGCCAGGGUGUAUCUGUAUGGACUGAAUGUGUCCCCAUAAAAUUUGUAUGUUGAAGCCCUAACCCCCAAUAUGAGGAUAUUUGGAGCUGGGGCCUUUGGGAGGUAAUUAAGUUAGAUGAGGUCAGAUGGACAUGGCCCCUGUGGUUGAGAUUAGCCCUAAUACCAAGAGAUAGCAGAGAGGUCCACCCUACUGUUGGCCACGUGCACACAUAGGGAGAAGGGGGCCGUCUAUAAGCAAGGAAGAGAGCCCUCAUCAGAAACCGAUCACGCCAGCAUGCUGAUCUUGGAUCUGAGGCCUCCAGAACUGAGGGAAAAUAAAUGUCUGCUGUUGAAGUCACCCAGUCCAUAUUGUUUUGUUAUGGCAGCUGGGAUAAGACAGUGUCCUUCUCGGUUUCUACCCAUAACAGGAUAAAAAUCCCUGGAGCAAACCCUCUCCUUCCACCCAAAGGAGCCAUGGGAAGCCACUCUCUACAAUUUGCAGCAAACAUGGAAGCACCAGAAUCCUGCACGUAUGCUCGGAGGAAACGCACAGAGGACAAAUGCAGGGUCGCAGGAUACAAGAAUGGCAAAGGCUGACUCCAGAGAACGUUGUUAAGCUUCAAAUCUAUACUGUGCAUUGGAAGGUAAACAAGCAUCAUCCACACAACUAACUGACUGCAUUCACCAGCACACUCUGAAGUCUUCAGCUACUGCUAUUAAUCUAUUUUUCUCAACAUUAUUUUCUUUCCUCAUUCUUGGAUUUCUUUUUAUUUAUGUAUUUAUUUUUUGA
This 1177-nucleotide long non-coding RNA is filed under the name Pan troglodytes (chimpanzee). Its description in RNAcentral is "long non-coding RNA NONPTRT014520". Lineage: Eukaryota; Metazoa; Chordata; Mammalia; Primates; Hominidae. The record is from RNAcentral.